CACUGGGCCACGGUGCUCACUAGGGAGCAGGUGGCAACUCCUGGGAAUGGGGGUGGGCGACCUUUGGUCCUGUUUGCUGUGCAAACGCGCCCGGGUGUGGGGAAGCUGACGGGGCCGGGCCCAGGCCCCCGCCCAGAGGCCCGGGAGCCCCAGCCGCGGGAAACCGAGUCAGGGACCGGACGUCCAGCCUCCGCACCUCGACCCCCACCAUGGGCGAGAGGGCCGGGACUCUUGGGGGACGCCUCUCUCGCCUCUUCUCCCGGAGCGAGGCCAACCCGGCAGCCCCGGCGGGCCGGGAGAGGGGCCGGACCCGCGGCCGGAAGGAACCGGAGCAGUCCAGAUCUCUGGACAGGCCGAAACAGAGGAAUCUGGUUCCCAGGCGUGGGCAGAGUUGCCCAGAUCUACCCGGAAGCAGCCGGAAGGCUGGAAAGAGGAGCCGGUCGGAGGCGGACCUGCGGAGACGGUCUCUGAGUCGCUGGCUGGCCAGUCUGUGGCAUCUGGCCGCCCCCCGGAGCCCCUCGAAGCCCGCCCAGCCCCUGGGGCGCCUGCAGAGGCCGGCGGUGGGCAGCACCUCGGACCUGGCCAGCCAUGCCCGCUGCGCCCCCCGGGACCACCCGGCCCCGGAGUCCCCGACGUCCCCCGAGGUCGAGGGCCGCCCCGUGCUGGGCAGUGCCAGGGGGACCGCCGGACCCUUGGGCGGGGCGGGGGUCGGGCCGGCCUCGGGGGCUGGGGAGGGGGCGGAGGCGCCGUGGCAAGAACCUGCCGGACCAGGUCCUCGCCCCGCCGCCCCACAGGGAUUCCAGGGCCGGGCCCGGAUCCCGGGCAGCCCGCCUCCUCCCCGGGGACUCCGCCCCAUCCCGGGGAGCCCUGCCGCCGCCCGGUGCCCCUGCCGGUGCCCGCGCCGGUGCCCGCACCGGUGCCCGCCGAGUGCGGACAGGCGCCAGGAGCGGCCGCGGCCUCGGCCCGGGGACUCCGGAGCAGCCGGUCCUGCCCAGCCCUCGGCAGAGCGCAGGUGAGUAGGGCAGGCCGGGGGCCGGGGGGCGGGGGGUCAGCCUGCCACUCCACCGGCCCCGGCACUUCAUUCAUUCGAGGACCGGAUCCCUCCCCUCCUCCGGGGGCACCUCCCACGGCUGGGCACCCCGAGCCAGCCCACUCCCACCUCCUAGCACCACCUCGCCGGGAACCCUGCUUAGGGACCCGGAGUCGGGGGGGAGAUGUGAGUUAUCCAAGUCACCUGAAAUGUCUCCCGUGCCACCGCAAUGCCCUGGGAGAUUGCCCCGGAUUGAGAA
RNAcentral lists this long non-coding RNA (1289 nucleotides) under Ornithorhynchus anatinus (platypus). RNAcentral describes it as "lncRNA (ENSOANG00000049614.1)". Lineage: Eukaryota; Metazoa; Chordata; Mammalia; Monotremata; Ornithorhynchidae. The record is from RNAcentral.